Molecule: long non-coding RNA, 2135 nt
Organism: Perca flavescens (yellow perch)
Lineage: Eukaryota; Metazoa; Chordata; Actinopteri; Perciformes; Percidae
Exons: 8
Source: RefSeq, a predicted model, not a curated record
UUCCUGUUUUUUUUUUUUUUUUCUUUCAGUUUUAUUCUGACCCUAUGAUGCAGUUGGUCGCAACAAUAACAAUGGAGCCCUCCCCCGCCUCUUCGCCUUACUCCUCUCGUGAUUGGAUGAUGCAGGGCGUGACUUCGAACGGUUUCUUCGCCACGACAGAUUCUGCGAUCUGAACGGACAGUCCUGGGCUUGAGCCUCUGGUUGAGAGGACCUCCUCCCUCAGCGGGGAUGGGGUCAAAGAGCACGGCUCCGGCUCCAAGGACUCUGGGAUUGCGGCAGAAACCAACACCAAGGGUUCGGGGCUGUUCCAGUUGAAAGAACUCACCUUUGUCAGCUCCUCUUCAUCAUCAUGCUGAUCAAGGAUGCCUUCAGACUCGGGCUCUGGCUCCUCUCCGACUGUCUCCACCCCUCCUCCCACCAUGUCAGCUAUCUGUCCAUUCAUCUGCCCGGCGAUCUCCACCUGCAACCAUUCCUGGUUACAGUCACAGAAAGAAAGAAACAGAGACAGAAGGCAGGAGAGAAGGAAGAAAUAGCAGAAUAAGAGCUCCCAUGUCCUGACCCAAGCUUUAUUUGCCGAUGCAAGACAUCAGAGAGACAAGAGAAAUACUUAGGUUGUUAAGACCCACGGUCCCCAUCUGCCCCACAGAUGGUGUGCCCCAGCUCUGCCACUCGAUCAUGUGGGCAACGCGACCCUGGGCCAUGGCAGUGGGCUUGGUCACUUUGUCCUUCAUGGAGCGAGUCACGCCUACAACAGGGUCUACAGCUGAGAAGUGAUACAUGGCUCACUAAUAUUCUGAGCCCCGGGGAAAGCGGCUCUGUGGCCUUGAUCUGGGCGUCCUUUCUUUUAGGACCGAGGCCUGGCCCGUCUGACAGCGGGAGGCAGUUCUGGGUCAGAGAUGCUCAUGGCCACCUAUCAAUCAAAAAUAUUGACCAGAUGCCUCACUCUGUGUAUCCAUCACCCUCUGACUUGGCUGGCUAGAUCACGCAAUCCAUCUACAAAAGUUGUCCAACUCCAGCUGCACUUCGCUACAUCAGCACAAUUAUUGUAAACAAAAAGAGCAGCAGCGAAGAAGAAGAAGAAGAAGAAGAAGACAUCCGGCCUCAAACAACCUCCAUGCUGCGCUGCUCGCUGUCAGCCACUGGCUCGGAUUUGGAGGGAGAUUUGUCGGAGUGAGAGCGGUUGCUGGAAGCUGUUCUUCCAGACAAAAAGGCUCAGGCUUUCAGAGUCUCUGAUGAAGACAGAUUGUGAAAGAAGUCACCCCCAACAUGUUUAUUCUCUCCAGAGGGGAGCAGCCUUUUCUGCAUUAUUUUUUAUUUUAAACGACCGAGGUAUUAUCAAUCAUUUGACGAACCACCUCUUUCCCCGCGUGUAGAUAUUUGCUGCUAAAUCCAAAAACACCUCAAACCACACUGGAAGCAGCUAGAAGUUAGAGCCAUGCCCAAACAUUUCUUCUGUGGGGAGUUUUGCCGAUAAGUCUAGUCCAGGGGUGUCAAACUCACUUUAGUUCAUGGAACACAUAACCCUAAUUUGAUCUCAUGUGGGACAGGCCUUUAAACCACUCCAGAAACUUUAUCUGCCGCAGAGUUUCUUGUAAGCUUGAUGUUGGCAAACGCAAGUUGCUUCUGCUAUGACAGCGUUCUAAGGCCACUGUAGGAAAAACAAUUAUGUUAGAGGAGAGAGGGGUAAUAUUCUGAGAAAAAACUCAGAACUUCUAAGAUUAAAGUCGUAAAUUUACGGAAAAAGAACUCCGAUAUUCUCUGAGAUUUAAGUGGAAUUGGAAUAUAUUCUCUGCAAUUUUUUACACUUUGCAAAGUCAUACAGUGGGCCUGAUUGGACCCUUAGGCAGGCCCGUUCUGGCCCACGGGCCGUAUGUUUGAAACCCCUGGUCUAGUCGAUAACGAUCUACUCUGAAUAAAAAAAGAAGACAGAGAGGUGCUGUUGAAAGCUGCAGAAAAAGCUAGCAAGUGCAGUGAAGAUUUUUAUAUACGUACAUAUCAAACUACUGUUUCCAAGGUCAACUGAAUUCUAAUUCUGGCAUGUUGUUUUUGAAACUAAGGUUAAUUAUGCUGCGGUCUCAGAAAUGUCUUGUUAUUAAUUCACAGUAAAAUGUGCCUAAAGUUGGGUGAGUGUUCCU